UACAGAGGUCUCAAGCGUUGUUCGGAUUCAUUGGGCGUAAAGGGUGCGUAGGUGGCGCGCUAAGUCGGGUGUGAAAUCUCGGAGCUUAACUCCGAAAUUGCAUUCGAUACUGGCGUGCUUGAGGACUGGAGAGGAGACUGGAAUUCAUGGUGUAGCAGUGAAAUGCGUAGAGAUCAUGAGGAAGACCAGUGGCGAAGGCGGGUCUCUGGACAGUUCCUGACACUGAGGCACGAAGGCCAGGGAGCAAACGGG
RNAcentral lists this ribosomal RNA (252 nucleotides) under uncultured bacterium. RNAcentral describes it as "partial 16S ribosomal RNA". It matches the Rfam family "Bacterial small subunit ribosomal RNA", at positions 524 to 776 of the family's 1533-position model. The record is from RNAcentral.